AUUGAACGCUGGCGGCAGGCUUAACACAUGCAAGUCGAGCGAGCGGCGGACGGGUGAGUAAUGUCUGGGAAACUGCCCGAUGGAGGGGGAUAACUACUGGAAACGGUAGCUAAUACCGCAUACGAUCAGAUGUGCCCAGAUGGGAUUAGCUAGUAGGUGGGGUAAUGGCUCACCUAGGCGGCGAUCCCUAGCUGGUCUGAUAGGAUGACCGGCCGCACUGGAACUGCGACCCGGUCCAGACUCCUACGGGAGGCAGCAGUGGGGAAUAUUGCACAAUGGGGGCAAGCCUGAUGCAGCCAUGCCGCGUGUGGGAAGAAGGCCUUCGGGUUGUAAAGCACUUUCAGCGAGGAGGCGUUACUCGCAGAAGAAGCACCGGCUAACUCCGUGCCAGCAGCCGCGGUAAUAC
This 406-nucleotide ribosomal RNA is filed under the name uncultured bacterium. RNAcentral describes it as "partial 16S ribosomal RNA". It matches the Rfam family "Bacterial small subunit ribosomal RNA", at positions 30 to 526 of the family's 1533-position model. The record is from RNAcentral.